This 247-nucleotide long non-coding RNA is filed under the name Gallus gallus (chicken). Lineage: Eukaryota; Metazoa; Chordata; Aves; Galliformes; Phasianidae. The record is from RNAcentral.
GUGAACCAUGGGCAGCGGAUGUUGAUGUAUCUUCUGAAUAGCUAGAUGUUCCGAAUUAAACAUUGCCUCAAUGGGUAAAUGAUUCCGCAAAUCUUCAGCAAUAUUUUUGAGUACAACAUCAUUGUUUGUCACCACAAACUCAUCAAAGUCACUGCUGUGGCGCAUCCAGUGCAGCAGGCGGGGCAGAUCGGCGGCGCACGUGCCCCGCACGGCGGCCAACACCGCGCGCCGCGCCGCCUCCAGUUCC